AUUUAGCAUGUGACAUACUAAUUAGGUCUUCAAGACUUAGUUCAGGACAAGUAAGCAAUGAACAAAGUUUUUGCACAAAUUGUUCUGGCUGGAAUAGAUCAGAAACAAUGGUGUAUUCUCCUUCUAGUUCUAGUCAAAUGGGACCUUCCAAAUUGAGGUGCCAUGAAAGCAAAAGAAGGUGCAAGUUUUUGCUUUCAAUCCAAAGCAUCCAAAACCCAUCAUGUUGAAAUCUUUGGGCACAGUGAAAAAUGAAAGCACAUGGUCAUGGAAACAUUGCAUCAAGCCAGAAUCAUUCAAAGUCUACAAUAGCUGUUCUUGACUUAUAUAUCCAGAAGAUAUAGAUGGUGAUUUGAAAAUCUGAAAUAGACUCCCGGGGCCCACUGGAUUGGAUUAAAAAUUUGGAAAUCUCAUUCUGAUUGUAGCAAUGUUGACAUUGAAAUCAGCCUUGAAUCUCAAUGUCACACCAACACAGAAAUUUUAAUCCAAAGGCUGCCCUACAACAGUGCUGCAAACGAACCGAACCGAAUUUGGGAGUGAUUGGACUUGUU
RNAcentral lists this long non-coding RNA (548 nucleotides) under Actinidia chinensis (golden kiwifruit). Its description in RNAcentral is "long non-coding RNA (ACHI_LNC000603)". Lineage: Eukaryota; Viridiplantae; Streptophyta; Magnoliopsida; Ericales; Actinidiaceae. The record is from RNAcentral.